GGUGUGAUGGCCGAGUGGUUAUGGCGACAGACUUAAGUUGUACAAGGGUUCUGUUGACGAAAGUCGCGCGAGUUCGAACCUCGCUCACAUCA
Non-coding RNA from Astrocystis sublimbata, 92 nucleotides. The record is from the annotation of a GenBank genome assembly. Lineage: Eukaryota; Fungi; Ascomycota; Sordariomycetes; Xylariales; Xylariaceae.